ACGCUCGACACCUAUGGAGGCAGCAGUGGGGAAUAUUGCACAAUGGGGGAAACCCUGAUGCAGCGACGCCGCGUGAGCGAAGAAGUAUCUCGGUAUGUAAAGCUCUAUCAGCAGGGAAGAAAAUGACGGUACCUGACUAAGAAGCCCCGGCUAACUACGUGCCAACAGCCGCGGUAAUCUGAGCGGGCUGGCAAGGC
RNAcentral lists this ribosomal RNA (197 nucleotides) under uncultured bacterium. Its description in RNAcentral is "partial 16S ribosomal RNA". It matches the Rfam family "Bacterial small subunit ribosomal RNA", at positions 328 to 539 of the family's 1533-position model. The record is from RNAcentral.